This 267-nucleotide long non-coding RNA is filed under the name Lathyrus oleraceus (garden pea). RNAcentral's name for it is "Pisum sativum (pea) long non-coding RNA (PSAT_LNC010536)". Lineage: Eukaryota; Viridiplantae; Streptophyta; Magnoliopsida; Fabales; Fabaceae. The record is from RNAcentral.
UAAGGGAAUGAAAGGAAAAUACAAGUUACAAACUAUUAAGUAUGUACCAUGCCUAAAGCAUACAAGUGGCACGGUAUUUCAAGCAAUACAAAGCUAUCGAAUGAAUAUGAAAUUUCCAGGAGCAUGGCUAGUUAGGAGUGAGCUUGCAUCUCAAAAUCACACGUGGACACCAAACAACAAACGAGUUAGCAUGAGAUUAAGUCAAAUGAAUGAGAAUGCAGCAAUAUGUAAGCAUGUACCAUGGUUAGAAUCGAUUCAAGAGGUAAU